This is a non-coding RNA of Momordica charantia (bitter melon), 699 nucleotides long. The record is from RefSeq and is a predicted model, not a curated record. Lineage: Eukaryota; Viridiplantae; Streptophyta; Magnoliopsida; Cucurbitales; Cucurbitaceae.
CAUUCUCGCCACAAAUCCGAACUGCAACAGAAAUCGACCCAAUUCAAUUCCCGUCUCCAGUCUCCUCUGCUGCAAAUUGUAAUCAGAAAUGGAGGAGGCCUUUCUUCUUUCCACAACCACUCCGCACCCACUGAUCGCCCGGAACUCUUUGCCUCCAUCGCUACAACUUGGUUUAUCCUCAGGUUAAGUUUUGUGGGGUGCAGCCAAAUGAGGAAAAAUCUAUGGAGCAAGCAUUGUAUCGUGAUGAGAGAGUGAUUGCGAAAGAGAUAGAACAUUUUGCAGAUGGUGUAGCUGUUAAGCAAGCCGGUGAAGAGACUUUUUGAAUUUGGAGAGAACUCGUCGAUGAUAUAAUUCUUGUAGCAAACAACAAAUAUCUGUCGCGAUAAAGGUUUGGGCUUCUUUGUUUUCUGUCUUUCAUGCUAAUACUUUGCUGUGUGUAUUGGUUUUCGGGUACUUGUGUUCAUUAGGGAAGGCAAAAGGAUAAGAUCUCAUUUGCAAAGUUGGUCAGCAUGUUCCAUAGUUUGAACUUUGAAUUGAUAAUGCUAAUUAUGUUAAGUUUUAUAUUUUCCAGUUAUACUCGUAGUAUACUUUAGCUAUUUCCAUUGGUAUACUUUACGGGAUAACAUUGAGAUAGUAAGUUGAUAAAAGUGGUUGUUUGAAUUGUGUGGAAACGGGUACAAGAUCAACUUUACUUUUGAA